GAUGAAGAACGUAGCGAAAUGCGAUAAGUAAUGUGAAUUGCAGAAUUCAGUGAAUCAUCGAAUCUUUGAACGCACCUUGCACCCUUUGGUAUUCCGAAGGGUAUGCUCGUUUGAGUGUCAUUGUACUCUCACACUUCCGAUCGUUUGGAUCGGGAGCGGUGGACUUGGGUGUUGCUGCUUUACUGUGGCUCACCUUAAAUGCAUUAGUGCACCUUUCGGUUGGACAUAGUACGGCGUGAUAAGUGUCUUCGCCGGCACCUCACAGAGGGUGGCCGAUCGGGAGCUCUGUGCUUCAAACUGUCUUCGGACAACAUCUGACAACUUGACCUCAAAUCGAGUAGGACUACCCGCUGAACUUAAGCAUAUCAAUAAGAGGAGGA
Molecule: unclassified non-coding RNA, 380 nt
Filed under: soil metagenome
Description: partial contains 5.8S ribosomal RNA, internal transcribed spacer 2, and large subunit ribosomal RNA
Rfam family: 5.8S ribosomal RNA (bases 1-120)
Source: RNAcentral